RNAcentral lists this ribosomal RNA (840 nucleotides) under Kocuria arsenatis. RNAcentral's name for it is "bacterial SSU rRNA". It matches the Rfam family "Bacterial small subunit ribosomal RNA", at positions 28 to 881 of the family's 1533-position model. Lineage: Bacteria; Bacillati; Actinomycetota; Actinomycetes; Micrococcales; Micrococcaceae. The record is from RNAcentral.
GACGAACGCGGUGGCGUGCUAACACAUGCAAGUCGAACGCUAAGCUGGUGCUGCACGGGUGGAUGAGUGGCGAACGGGUGAGUAAUACGUGAGUAACCUGCCCUUGACUCUGGGAUAAGCCUGGAAACUGGGUCUAAUACGGAUAUGACAUGUCACCGCAUGGUGGUGUGUUGAAAGGGUUUUACUGGUUUUGGAUGGGCUCACGGCCUAUCAGCUUGUUGGUGGGGUAAUGGCUCACCAAGGCGACGACGGGUAGCCGGCCUGAGAGGGUGACCGGCCACACUGGGACUGAGACACGGCCCAGACUCCUACGGGAGGCAGCAGUGGGGAAUAUUGCACAAUGGGCGGAAGCCUGAUGCAGCGACGCCGCGUGAGGGAUGACGGCCUUCGGGUUGUAAACCUCUUUCAGCACGGAAGAAGCGAAAGUGACGGUACGUGCAGAAGAAGCGCCGGCUAACUACGUGCCAGCAGCCGCGGUAAUACGUAGGGCGCAAGCGUUGUCCUGAAUUAUUGGGCGUAAAGAGCUCGUAGGCGGUUUGUCGCGUCUGCUGUGAAAGCUCGGGGCUUAACCCCGGGUGUGCAGUGGGUACGGGCAGACUUGAGUGCAGUAGGGGAGACUGGAAUUCUUGGUGUAGCGGUGAAAUGCGCAGAUAUCAGGAGGAACACCGAUGGCGAAGGCAGGUCUCUGGGCUGUUACUGACGCUGAGGAGCGAAAGCAUGGGGAGCGAACAGGAUUAGAUACCCUGGUAGUCCAUGCCGUAAACGUUGGGCACUAGGUGUGGGGAACAUUCCACGUUUUCCGCGCCGUAGCUAACGCAUUAAGUGCCCCGCAUAGAGAUC